RNAcentral lists this ribosomal RNA (475 nucleotides) under uncultured bacterium. Its description in RNAcentral is "partial 16S ribosomal RNA". It matches the Rfam family "Bacterial small subunit ribosomal RNA", at positions 28 to 523 of the family's 1533-position model. The record is from RNAcentral.
GACGAACGCUGGCGGCGUGCUUAACACAUGCAAGUCGAGCGGAAAGGCCCUUCGGGGUACUCGAGCGGCGAACGGGUGAGUAACACGUGAGCAACCUGCCCCUGACUCUGGGAUAAGCCCGGGAAACUGGGUCUAAUACCGGAUAUGACCGCCCCCGGCAUCGGGUGGUGGUGGAAAGUUUUUUCGGUUGGGGAUGGGCUCGCGGCCUAUCAGCUUGUUGGUGGGGUAGUGGCCUACCAAGGCGACGACGGGUAGCCGGCCUGAGAGGGCGACCGGCCACACUGGGACUGAGACACGGCCCAGACUCCUACGGGAGGCAGCAGUGGGGAAUAUCGCGCAAUGGGCGGAAGCCUGACGCAGCGACGCCGCGUGGGGGAUGACGGCCUUCGGGUUGUAAACCUCUUUCAGCAGGGACGAAGUUGACGUGUACCUGCAGAAGAAGCGCCGGCUAACUACGUGCCAGCAGCCGCCGUAA